Long non-coding RNA from Magnolia sinica, 1822 nucleotides. RefSeq lists it as uncharacterized. Lineage: Eukaryota; Viridiplantae; Streptophyta; Magnoliopsida; Magnoliales; Magnoliaceae. The record is from RefSeq and is a predicted model, not a curated record. The transcript is spliced from 4 exons.
GUUUGAUGGGAACCUUUGUUUUUUUUUUUUUUUCCUUACGCAUCCUCUGUUGUGGAGUCGGAUUUCAGUCUUCCUAUGUGUAUUUCCUCUCUCUCUAUACUAUCUUUGUUGUAAGUGGAAUUGCAAUGGUGAGGGUUUUCACAGUUGAGCUUGAUUUUCGAGUCAUUGCUACUCUGAAUUUUGCUGAUUCAUUGUUUGACGAUUGUCCAUCUUCUUCAAGAAUCCAAGCUUCAGUUCCAUUAUGUGGAACUCCUGCUUGAAUUUAGCACAAGCUUCUAGCCCCAUCCUCACCUCCCACUUUCUUCUUUUUUUUUGACUUCUAGUUCUGUUCUAUUCUUGAACCUACGGUGCUGAUGACGGACGGAGGCCACUUCCCUGUUGCAGCAAUCCGCUCGUGUGACUCCAAGCUCCGUGGAGUCCACCGUGAUGUAUGUGUUAUAUCCACUCCGCCCAUCCAUUGCGGCUGCCCAUAUUAGGACUUGAUCUAAAAAAUCAGACAGAUCAAAAACUCAAGUGGGCCGGCCACACCACAUGAAGCAAGUUUUGGAUCAUGCUGAUGUGUGUGAUUUUCCUUAUUUUUGGUGGAAAUCACCCUAUGAAUGGGUUGGAUGGCAUAUAAACAUCAUGGUGGGCUUCAAGAAUGUUUCAACGGUGCUUGUUUUCAUCCCCACUACUUCCUAUGGUGUGUACCACUUGAGUUUUGGUCAGUCACACUUUUUGGUUCGCGUCCUAACAUAGGCUGGUGGAAUCAAUGGACGGAGUGGAUAUAACACAAACAUCACAGUGGACCCCACAGAGCUCAGGGUUACAGGGAAGUUGCAUCCGCUGAUAACCUGGUGCAAUGGGCCAUAUGGAAGAAAAAUGUGAUAGUUUAGGGGAAAUAAAUGAAAAGAAAAGAAAAAUCCAACUGUCUACAUUCAAAGUGCACCUCUCCUUCUUGAUUUCUCUGUCAGGUCAUCUGCAUGGUGGGGUACGCCUUCAGCACUGUCAUGUACCAUAACCAUGAAGGUGCAUUUGAUAUUGAAGUCCCUGAAUGUGCCAUUUGAAGCACUAAACAUACCUGAGAAUAAAAUGCUGCGUCAAGGAUUGAAGGAGUACACCAACUGGCCAACAUUUCCUCAAAAAAUUAUGUUGAUGAGGAUUUCUUUGGCGACCAUGACACAACAGUUGAGAAAAGGUGGUGAAGAUUAUUUGAAUUCAAAGUGAACAUGGAAAGAUGACAUCGACAUCUUUGAGUUGAAAGUGUUUUCAUUUGGCUACUAGAAUCAAUCAAUAACAUCGAUUUCUCUCAGCUUGAAACAAGAUGCUGAAGAUGCAGAAUAGUGGUAGGUGAAAACGCUGGUAACCAGCAUGCGCGUAAGUAUCCCAUAUGCUGGGCUUUCUUCCAUCUUCAGCAGCAGCUCCUUCAACCUGCAACAGGAGCGUAGUGAGUUCCUUGUCACACAUAUUACAAAGGAGAUGAUAAAAUUAUGAUGAAGGACGCAGAGCCCAUCACAAAACAGUUGACCUGGUAAGCAGAGGAACCAGCGCCAAACACAAAACCAGGUGGGAAGUCACUUCUGCCAAUGACAGCAGCUUCACGUGUGUCAAGAGCACGCCCAUUUACAGCUAUCAAUGUAACAAGUAGGUGGAGGAGCAUGCAUAGCCUUCUUCUUUCCAUUUUUGCUUGGUUUUUAGCUCAGCUAAUGGUGUUCCUGUCUGAACGGUAAGAGGACCUUGUUAAUGAGGUGAUGCUGCAUUGAGAUCUCCGCCUUAAUAUAUUUUGAGAAAAAGGAGACUGUGACAUGGCAUUAAAUAAAGUAGGGCCUGUUUAGAUUUCCAA